RNAcentral lists this ribosomal RNA (325 nucleotides) under uncultured bacterium. RNAcentral's name for it is "bacterial SSU rRNA". It matches the Rfam family "Bacterial small subunit ribosomal RNA", at positions 30 to 334 of the family's 1533-position model. The record is from RNAcentral.
AUUGAACGCUGGCGGCAGGCCUAACACAUGCAAGUCGAGCGGUAACAGAGAUAGCUUGCUAUCUGCUGACGAGCGGCGGACGGGUGCGUAACACGUAGGAAUCUACCCAGUAGCGGGGGAUAGCCCGGAGAAAUCCGGAUUAAUACCGCAUACGCACUACUCUUUUUCGGAAGAGGGUGGAAAGCAGGGGACUCUUCGGAGCCUUGCACUAUUGGAUGAGCCUGCGGCGGAUUAGCUAGUUGGUGGGGUAAAGGCCUACCAAGGCAACGAUCCGUAGCUGGUCUGAGAGGAUGAUCAGCCACACUGGGACUGAGACACGGCCCAG